GGGAAAAAUAAAGCGAAAAAAAGAGCGGAGAAAAAAACGGCGAAGGGGAAAAACGGGCGAAGGGGGAAAGGGGAAAAAUAAAGCUUUAUUUUUCCCCUUUCCCCCUUCGCCCGUUUUUCCCCUUCGCCGUUUUUUUCUCCGCUCUUUUUUUCGCN
This 155-nucleotide small nucleolar RNA is filed under the name Paramuricea clavata. Lineage: Eukaryota; Metazoa; Cnidaria; Anthozoa; Malacalcyonacea; Plexauridae. The record is from RNAcentral.